UGGGGAAUAUUGCACAAUGGGCGCAAGCCUGAUGCAGCCAUGCCGCGUGUGUGAAGAAGGCCUUCGGGUUGUAAAGCACUUUCAGCGAGGAGGAAGGUGUGAACUUAAUACGUUCAUCAAUUGACGUUACUCGCAGAAGAAGCACCGGCUAACUCCGUGCCAGCAGCCGCGGUAAUACGGAGGGUGCAAGCGUUAAUCGGAAUUACUGGGCGUAAAGCGCACGCGGGCGGUUUGUUAAGUCAGAUGUGAAAUCCCCGGGCUCAACCUGGGAACUGCAUUUGAAACUGGCAAGCUAGAUCUCGUAGAGGGGGGUAGAAUUCCAGGUGUAGCGGUGAAAUGCGUAGAGAUCUGGAGGAAUACCGGUGGCGAAGGNGGCCCCCUGGACGAAGACUGACGCUCAGGUGCGAAA
This 409-nucleotide ribosomal RNA is filed under the name uncultured bacterium. RNAcentral describes it as "partial 16S ribosomal RNA". It matches the Rfam family "Bacterial small subunit ribosomal RNA", at positions 355 to 758 of the family's 1533-position model. The record is from RNAcentral.